RNAcentral lists this ribosomal RNA (254 nucleotides) under uncultured bacterium. RNAcentral's name for it is "partial 16S ribosomal RNA". It matches the Rfam family "Bacterial small subunit ribosomal RNA", at positions 524 to 776 of the family's 1533-position model. The record is from RNAcentral.
UACGGAGGAUCCAAGCGUUAUCCGGAUUCAUUGGGUUUAAAGGGUGCGUAGGCGGAACGAUAAGUCAGUGGUGAAAGCCUGUAGCUUAACUACAGAACUGCCAUUGAUACUGUCGAUCUUGAGUAUAUUUGAUGUGGGCGGAAUGUGUCAUGUAGCGGUGAAAUGCUUAGAUAUGACACAGAACACCGAUUGCGAAGGCAGCUCACAAAAACUAUAACUGACGCUGAGGCACGAAAGCGUGGGGAUCAAACAGG